RNAcentral lists this ribosomal RNA (678 nucleotides) under Pseudoalteromonas arctica. RNAcentral describes it as "bacterial SSU rRNA". It matches the Rfam family "Bacterial small subunit ribosomal RNA", at positions 68 to 741 of the family's 1533-position model. The record is from RNAcentral. Lineage: Bacteria; Pseudomonadati; Pseudomonadota; Gammaproteobacteria; Alteromonadales; Pseudoalteromonadaceae.
GGUAACAGAAAGUAGCUUGCUACUUUGCUGACGAGCGGCGGACGGGUGAGUAAUGCUUGGGAACAUGCCUUGAGGUGGGGGACAACAGUUGGAAACGACUGCUAAUACCGCAUAAUGUCUACGGACCAAAGGGGGCUUCGGCUCUCGCCUUUAGAUUGGCCCAAGUGGGAUUAGCUAGUUGGUGAGGUAAUGGCUCACCAAGGCGACGAUCCCUAGCUGGUUUGAGAGGAUGAUCAGCCACACUGGGACUGAGACACGGCCCAGACUCCUACGGGAGGCAGCAGUGGGGAAUAUUGCACAAUGGGCGCAAGCCUGAUGCAGCCAUGCCGCGUGUGUGAAGAAGGCCUUCGGGUUGUAAAGCACUUUCAGUCAGGAGGAAAGGUUGGUGGUUAAUACCCGUUAGCUGUGACGUUACUGACAGAAGAAGCACCGGCUAACUCCGUGCCAGCAGCCGCGGUAAUACGGAGGGUGCGAGCGUUAAUCGGAAUUACUGGGCGUAAAGCGUACGCAGGCGGUUUGUUAAGCGAGAUGUGAAAGCCCCGGGCUCAACCUGGGAACUGCAUUUCGAACUGGCAAACUAGAGUGUGAUAGAGGGUGGUAGAAUUUCAGGUGUAGCGGUGAAAUGCGUAGAGAUCUGAAGGAAUACCGAUGGCGAAGGCAGCCACCUGGGUCAACACU